GCCCCCGUAACCCCGUUAACCGCGAGAACCUCUCUCCUGAAGCGGGUGUCGCAGGUUCGCGUCCUGCCGGGGGGCA
Molecule: transfer RNA, 76 nt
Filed under: Streptomyces lydicus
Lineage: Bacteria; Bacillati; Actinomycetota; Actinomycetes; Kitasatosporales; Streptomycetaceae
Description: tRNA-Ala
Source: RNAcentral